Chinchilla lanigera (long-tailed chinchilla) is the source of this 874-nucleotide long non-coding RNA. RefSeq lists it as uncharacterized. The transcript is spliced from 3 exons. Lineage: Eukaryota; Metazoa; Chordata; Mammalia; Rodentia; Chinchillidae. The record is from RefSeq and is a predicted model, not a curated record.
AAGCAGUAGGAUGUUUUCAUGUAUGCUGCACAUCGAUGUGGACAGGCAGAAGCUCAGAAACCAAAAAUGUCUUCCGUCAAUGUAAUUUUGUUGGAAAUCUGAGCAUACAGUUGUUCAGAUCUCACCUUGCCAUGGAAGUUUUUACAUGCCUACCUCAUUAUUCCAAAGAGUUGUAACUUUCUCGGGGCCAGGCAAUGAAUUGUAUCUUCCAUGAUGUUGUGGAGUUAUGUCCCAAAGGAAGUGCUGCUAAGUUGUUUUACUUUAUCCAGAGGCAGACGCUCCAUUGUACCAGGCUGAAUUUACAAAGUACAAUGCAUUCUGAAAUUCAAGACAAAGCAAAAUACAAGGAGAAAAUGAAAAUCUGUUCUACUAAAAAAGAAAUCCUUCCACAACUGAAGAGAUACAUAUUGACUUUUCUGGUGACAGAGGCGGAUGUGACAGGUGUUUAUGCCUGAACAGCUCCAGAGAUAAGUGGAAAAUUUGAUUUUCAAGUGAUCCUGGCAUACUCAUGGAAUGAGGAAUGUGGAAAAAGAAAGCAUAAUUGAAAGACAGUUAUUUGGCUUCCAUAUUGAGCAACUAUUUCUCCUAUUUUGAAAGCCAGGUGGAAGAGUUGCUCUGGUUUAAUAGGACUGCGUUUACAGGGCAGGCUGCUUAUUGGCUAUGUGACACGCUGCCUAUAGCUACCUGCAAAUAAACAGAAAUGUGGGUCAAGGUCCACAUCUGGGGUACCAAGCACUUAAAUUCUGCACUGAGCAUGGCUUUUAAAGAUGUAUAUGUAGUGCAGAGUUCUCAUCCCAGUGUGCCUUUGUGGUAUAUAUUCAUCACUUACUGAAAUAACAUAUAAAUCCCAACUAUAGGAGAAAACUAAAUAAAA